This is a long non-coding RNA of Oncorhynchus tshawytscha (Chinook salmon), 1867 nucleotides long. NCBI's taxonomy places the organism in Eukaryota, Metazoa, Chordata, Actinopteri, Salmoniformes, Salmonidae. The record is from Ensembl.
GAGAGAGAGAGAGAGAGAGAGAGAGAGAGAGAGAGAGAGACAGAGACAGAGAGAGAGAGAGAGAGAGAGAGAGAGAGAGAGAGAGAGAGAGGGAUAGAGAGAGAGAGAGAGAGAGAGAGAGAGAGAGAGAGAGAGAGAGAGAGAGAGAGAGAGAGGGAGAGAGAGACAGAGAGAGAGGGAUAGAGACAGAGAGAGGGAGAGAGAGACAGAGAGAGAGGGAUAGAGAGAGAGAGAGAGAGAGAGAGAGAGAGAGAGAGGGAGAGAGAGAGAGAGAGAGAGAGAGAGAGAGAGAGAGAGAGAGAGAGAGCUCAUCACCAUUUGACACGCUAGUUCCACUAAACAGUCUUCACUAUGGCACAUUGACAACCUUUUCCCCUUUAGUGGGUUUCAAACGGAGCGGUUUAACUGACUCUGAAUAACUGCCAAGCAGGCAGGGAACAAAGGAAGGAAGAACAUAACAAGGUCUCGUUGUUCUGUACGAACUGGCAUCCCGGCUGUACGAUACAUCCUGGGCCUGUAUGUCUCAAGAGUCUCAGAGAUAAAGAGCACUGAUCUUGAAUCAGUUUUAUACAUUAUAAUGAUUAAGAUUAUACGGGCCAAAGGGAGAACUGAUCGUAGAUCAGCAACACCUACUCCGAGAGGCUUUGUGAAUACGGGCCUUGGUCCCUACUGUAGGAGAGUUCCUGUCCCUAGACAUUAACGUUGAGAGCUGCACUGUUGGUUAAAGGGGAGCUUGUAGGUAAGGUCUACACUGUUGGUUAAAGGGGGGCUUGUAGGUAAGGUCUACACUGUUGGUUAAAGGGGGGCUUGUAGGUAAGCGUUUCACGGUGAGGUCUACAUGUUGUAUUCGACUCGUGACAAAUAAAGUUUGAUUUGAUUUCAAGACGUCGGAGAGCUUUUAUCAAUGACUACGUUUUGGUUUGCACUGGCAGGACAUGAACAAACUCAGACAUAAAAUAAAUACAAAUCAAUCAAAAAUAACACGUUUUAAGGAAACAAAUCACAGAUGUUUUGGGCCCAUUUCUUGAGGAUUCAUUUUCUGUCACAUUGGCCACAGAGGCCAGUUGUUCCUGACCAUGUGACCUGAACCGGCCAGUAAAAUCACCUGGUCCUACAGUACUGUACUGGUUACAGACAUAAACCAAUCACCUGGUCCUACAGUACUGCAGGGUUACAGACAUAAACCAAUCACCUGGUACUACAGUACUGCAGGGUUACAGACAUAAACCAAUCACCUGGUCUUAUAGUAUUGUACUGGUUACAGACAUAAACCAGUCACCUGGUACUACAAUACUGUACUGGUUAUAUACAUAAACCAAUCACCUGGUCCUACAGUACUGCAGGGUUACAGACAUAAACCAAUCACCUGGUCCUACAGUACUGUACUGGUUAUAGACAUAAACCAAUCACCUGGUACUAUAGUACUGUACUGGUUACAGACAUAAACCAAUCACCUGGUACUACAGUACUGCAGGGUUACAGACAUAAACCAAUCACCUGGUACUACAGUACUGCAGGGUUACAUACAUAAACCAAUCACCUGGUCUUAUAGUACUGUACUGGUUACAGACACAAACCAGUCACCUGGUACUACAGUACUGCAGGGUUACAGACAUAAACCACUCACCUGGUACUACAGUACUGCAGGGUUACAGACAUAAACCAAUCACCUGGUCUUAUAGUACUGUACUGGUUACAGACAUAAACCAGUCACCUGGUACUACAGUACUGUACUGGUUAUAUACAUAAACCAAUCACCUGGUCCUACAGUACUGUACUGGUCACAGACAUAAACCAAUCACCUGGUCCUACAGUACUGCAGGGUUACAGACAUAAACCAAUCACCUGGUCCUACAGUACUGUACUG